Molecule: ribosomal RNA, 1346 nt
Filed under: uncultured bacterium
Lineage: Bacteria
Description: partial 16S ribosomal RNA
Rfam family: Bacterial small subunit ribosomal RNA
Source: RNAcentral
GACGAACGCUGGCGGCGUGCUUAACACAUGCAAGUCGAACGGAAAGGCCCUGCUUUUGUGGGGUGCUCGAGUGGCGAACGGGUGAGUAACACGUGAGUAACCUGCCCUUGACUUUGGGAUAACUUCAGGAAACUGGGGCUAAUACCGGAUAGGAGCUCCUGCUGCAUGGUGGGGGUUGGAAAGUUUCGGCGGUUGGGGAUGGACUCGCGGCUUAUCAGCUUGUUGGUGGGGUAGUGGCUUACCAAGGCUUUGACGGGUAGCCGGCCUGAGAGGGUGACCGGCCACAUUGGGACUGAGAUACGGCCCAGACUCCUACGGGAGGCAGCAGUGGGGAAUAUUGCACAAUGGGCGGAAGCCUGAUGCAGCAACGCCGCGUGCGGGAUGACGGCCUUCGGGUUGUAAACCGCUUUCGCCUGUGACGAAGCGUGAGUGACGGUAAUGGGUAAAGAAGCACCGGCUAACUACGUGCCAGCAGCCGCGGUGAUACGUAGGGUGCGAGCGUUGUCCGGAUUUAUUGGGCGUAAAGGGCUCGUAGGUGGUUGAUCGCGUCGGAAGUGUAAUCUUGGGGCUUAACCCUGAGCGUGCUUUCGAUACGGGUUGACUUGAGGAAGGUAGGGGAGAAUGGAAUUCCUGGUGGAGCGGUGGAAUGCGCAGAUAUCAGGAGGAACACCAGUGGCGAAGGCGGUUCUCUGGGCCUUUCCUGACGCUGAGGAGCGAAAGCGUGGGGAGCGAACAGGCUUAGAUACCCUGGUAGUCCACGCUGUAAACGGUGGGUACUAGGUGUGGGGUCCAUUCCACGGGUUCCGUGCCGUAGCUAACGCUUUAAGUACCCCGCCUGGGGAGUACGGCCGCAAGGCUAAAACUCAAAGGAAUUGACGGGGCCCCGCACAAGCGGCGGAGCAUGCGGAUUAAUUCGAUGCAACGCGUAGAACCUUACCUGGGUUUGACAUGGAUCGGGAGUGCUCAGAGAUGGGUGUGCCUCUUUUGGGGUCGGUUCACAGGUGGUGCAUGGCUGUCGUCAGCUCGUGUCGUGAGAUGUUGGGUUAAGUCCCGCAACGAGCGCAACCCUUGUUCACUGUUGCCAGCACGUUAUGGUGGGGACUCAGUGGAGACCGCCGGGGUCAACUCGGAGGAAGGUGGGGAUGACGUCAAGUCAUCAUGCCCCUUAUGUCCAGGGCUUCACGCAUGCUACAAUGGCUGGUACAGAGAGUGGCGAGCCUGUGAGGGUGCGCGAAUCUCGGAAAGCCGGUCUCAGUUCGGAUUGGGGUCUGCAACUCGACCUCAUGAAGUCGGAGUCGCUAGUAAUCGCAGAUCGGCAACGCUGCGGUGAAUACGUUCCCGGGGCU